This 570-nucleotide ribosomal RNA is filed under the name uncultured bacterium. Its description in RNAcentral is "partial 16S ribosomal RNA". It matches the Rfam family "Bacterial small subunit ribosomal RNA", at positions 354 to 918 of the family's 1533-position model. The record is from RNAcentral.
UGGGGGAAUUUUGGACAAUGGGCGAAAGCCUGAUCCAGCAAUGCCGCGUGUGUGAAGAAGGCCUUCGGGUUGUAAAGCACUUUUGUCCGGAAAGAAAUCCUUGGCUCUAAUACAGUCGGGGGAUGACGGUACCGGAAGAAUAAGCACCGGCUAACUACGUGCCAGCAGCCGCGGUAAUACGUAGGGUGCAAGCGUUAAUCGGAAUUACUGGGCGUAAGCGUGCGCAGGCGGUUUGCUAAGACCGAUGUGAAAUCCCGGGCUCAACCUGGGAACUGCAUUGGUGACUGGCAGGCUAGAGUAUGGCAGAGGGGGGUUAGAAUUCCACGUGUAGCAGUGAAAUGCGUAGAGAUGUGGAGGAAUACCGAUGGCGAAGGCAGCCCCCUGGGCCAAUACUGACGCUCAUGCACGAAAGCGUGGGGAGCAAACAGGAUUAGAUACCCUGGUAGUCCACGCCCUAAACGAUGUCAACUAGUUGUUGGGGAUUCAUUUCCUUAGUAACGUAGCUAACGCGUGAAGUUGACCGCCUGGGGAGUACGGUCGCAAGAUUAAAACUCAAAUGAAUUGACGGGG